ACGCUAGCUACAGGCUUAACACAUGCAAGUCGAGGGGUCUGCUUCGGCAGACGACCGGCGCACGGGUGAGUAACGCGUAUCCAACCUGCCCCUCUCUUUGGGAUAGCCUUUCGAAAGAGAGAUUAAUACCGAAUAACAUAGUCAAGUUGCCUGAUUCGACUAUGAAAGCUCCGGUGGAGAGGGAUGGGGAUGCGUUCCAUUAGAUAGUAGGCGGGGUAACGGCCCACCUAGCCAACGAUGGAUAGGGGUUCUGAGAGGAAGGUCCCCCACACUGGAACUGAGACACGGUCCAGACUCCUACGGGAGGCAGCAGUGAGGAAUAUUGGUCAAUGGGCGCAAGCCUGAACCAGCCAAGUAGCGUGAAGGAUGACUGCCCUAUGGGUUGUAAACUUCUUUUAUACGGGAACAAUCGCAGGUACGUGUACCUGUCUGCGUGUACCGUAUGAAUAAGCAUCGGCUAACUCCGUGCCAGCAGCCGCGGUAAUACGGAAGAUGCGAGCGUUAUCCGGAUUUAUUGGGUUUAAAGGGAGCGUAGACGGGAGAUUAAGUCAGUUGUGAAAGGCUGCGGCUCAACCGCAGCACUGCAGUUGAUACUGGUUUCCUUGAGUGCGGUUGAGGUAUGUGGAAUUCGUGGUGUAGCGGUGAAAUGCUUAGAUAUCACGAAGAACUCCGAUUG
Molecule: ribosomal RNA, 676 nt
Filed under: uncultured Bacteroidota bacterium
Lineage: Bacteria; Pseudomonadati; Bacteroidota
Description: bacterial SSU rRNA
Rfam family: Bacterial small subunit ribosomal RNA
Source: RNAcentral